Molecule: ribosomal RNA, 482 nt
Filed under: uncultured bacterium
Lineage: Bacteria
Description: bacterial SSU rRNA
Rfam family: Bacterial small subunit ribosomal RNA
Source: RNAcentral
UUGAACGCUGGCGGAAUGCUUUACACAUGCAAGUCGGGCGGCAGCGCGGGGGCAACCCUGGCGGCGAGCGGCGAACGGGUGAGUAACAUAUCGGGACGUACCCAGACGUGGGGGACAACUAGUCGAAAGACUAGCUAAUACCGCAUACGUCCUGAGGGAGAAAGCGGGGGAUCGCAAGACCUCGCGCGUUUGGAGCGGCCGAUAUCUGAUUAGCUAGAUGGUGGGGUAAAGGCCCACCAUGGCGACGAUCAGUAGCUGGUCUGAGAGGAUGAUCAGCCACACUGGGACUGAGACACGGUCCAGACUCCUACGGGAGGCAGCAGUGGGGAAUUUUGGACAAUGGGGGAAACCCUGAUCCAGCCAUUCCGCGUGAGUGAAGAAGGCCUUCGGGUUGUAAAGCUCUUUCGGCAGGAACGAAACGGCGGAAUCUAAUACAUUCCACUAAUGACGGUACCUGAAGAAGAAGCACCGGCUAACUACGU